UNUGACUUGAGUGCAGAAGGGGAGAGUGGAAUUCCAUGUGUAGCGGUGAAAUGCGUAGAUAUAUGGAGGANCACCAGUGGCGAAAGCGGCUCUCUGGUCUGUCACUGACGCUGAGGCUCGAAAGCGUGGGUAGCGAACAGGAUUAGAUACCCUGGUAGUCCACGCCGUAAACGAUGAGUGCUAGGUGUUAGGCCCUUUCCGGGGCUUAGUGCCGGAGCUAACGCAAUAAGCACUCCGCCUGGGGAGUACGACCGCAAGGUUGGAACUCAAAGGAAUUGACGGGGGCCCGCACAAGCGGUGGAGCAUGUGGUUUAAUUCGAAGCAACGCGAAGAACCUUACCAGGUCUUGACAUCCCGAUGCUAUUCUUAGAGAUAGGAAGUUACUUCGGUACAUCGGAGACAGGUGGUGCAUGGUUGUCGUCAGCUCGUGUCGUGAGAUGUUGGGUUAAGUCCCGCGACGAGCGCAACCCUUAUUGUUAGUUGCCAUCAUUAAGUUGGGCACUCUAGCGAGACUGCCGGUAAUAAACCGGAGGAAGGUGGGGAUGACGUCAAAUCAUCAUGCCCCUUAUGACCUGGGCUACACACGUGCUACAAUGGUCGGUACAACGAGUUGCGAGCCGGUGACGGCAAGCUAAUCUCUGGAAGCCGAUCUCAGUUCGGAUUGGAGGCUGCAACUCGCCUCCAUGAAGUCGGAAUCGCUAGUAAUCGCGGAUCAGCACGCCGCGGUGAAUACGUUCCCGGGCCUUGUACACACCGCCCGUCACACCACGAGAGUUUGUAACACCCGAAGUCGGUGAGGUAACCUUUUAGGGGCCAGCCGC
Molecule: ribosomal RNA, 821 nt
Filed under: uncultured bacterium
Lineage: Bacteria
Description: bacterial SSU rRNA
Rfam family: Bacterial small subunit ribosomal RNA
Source: RNAcentral